CUGGCUCAGGAUGAACGCUGGCGGCGUGCUUAACACAUGCAAGUCGAACGGGAAUACUUUUAGCUUGCUAAGUUGUAAUUCUAGUGGCGGACGGGUGAGUAACGCGUGGGUAACCUGCCUUAUACAGGGGGACAACAGUUGGAAACGACUGCUAAUACCGCAUAAGCGCACAGAUAGGCAUCUAUCAGUGUGAAAAACUCCGGUGGUAUAAGAUGGACCCGCGUCUGAUUAGCUAGUCGGUGAGGUAACGGCCCACCAAGGCGACGAUCAGUAGCCGGCCUGAGAGGGCAAUCGGCCACAUUGGGACUGAGACACGGCCCAAACUCCUACGGGAGGCAGCAGUGGGGAAUAUUGCACAAUGGAGGAAACUCUGAUGCAGCGACGCCGCGUGAGUGAAGAAGUAUUUCGGUAUGUAAAGCUCUAUCAGCAGGAAAGAAAAUGACGGUACCUGACUAAGAAGCCCCGGCUAACUACGUGCCAGCCGCCGC
RNAcentral lists this ribosomal RNA (488 nucleotides) under uncultured bacterium. RNAcentral's name for it is "bacterial SSU rRNA". It matches the Rfam family "Bacterial small subunit ribosomal RNA", at positions 19 to 518 of the family's 1533-position model. The record is from RNAcentral.